This 295-nucleotide ribosomal RNA is filed under the name uncultured bacterium. RNAcentral describes it as "partial 16S ribosomal RNA". It matches the Rfam family "Bacterial small subunit ribosomal RNA", at positions 775 to 1067 of the family's 1533-position model. The record is from RNAcentral.
GGAUUAGAUACCCUGGUAGUCCACGCCGUAAACGAUGUGUGCUAGUUGUCGGGCCCUUAGGGUUCGGUGACGCAGAGAAAUCAUUAAGCACACCGCCUGGGGAGUACGGCCGCAAGGUUAAAACUCAAAGGAAUUGACGGGGACCCGCACAAGCGGUGGAGCAUGUUCCUUAAUUCGAAGCAACGCGAAGAACCUUACCCACUCUUGACAUCCUUCUUGGGGCUUUCAGAGAUGAUUGCUUUCGGUUCGGCCGGGGAAGUGACAGGUGCUGCAUGGCUGUCGUCAGCUCGUGCUG